GAUGAACGCUGGCGGCGUGCCUAAUACAUGCAAGUCGAGCGAACAGACGAGGAGCUUGCUCCUCUGACGUUAGCGGCGGACGGGUGAGUAACACGUGGAUAACCUACCUAUAAGACUGGGAUAACUUCGGGAAACCGGAGCUAAUACCGGAUAAUAUAUUGAACCGCAUGGUUCAAUAGUGAAAGACGGUUUUGCUGUCACUUAUAGAUGGAUCCGCGCCGCAUUAGCUAGUUGGUAAGGUAACGGCUUACCAAGGCAACGAUGCGUAGCCGACCUGAGAGGGUGAUCGGCCACACUGGAACUGAGACACGGUCCAGACUCCUACGGGAGGCAGCAGUAGGGAAUCUUCCGCAAUGGGCGAAAGCCUGACGGAGCAACGCUGCGUGAGUGAUGAAGGUCUUCGGAUCGUAAAACUCUGUUAUUAGGGAAGAACAAAUAUGUAAGUAACUAUGCACGUCUUGACGGUACCUAAUCAGAAAGCCACGGCUAACUACGUG
RNAcentral lists this ribosomal RNA (497 nucleotides) under uncultured bacterium. Its description in RNAcentral is "partial 16S ribosomal RNA". It matches the Rfam family "Bacterial small subunit ribosomal RNA", at positions 28 to 507 of the family's 1533-position model. The record is from RNAcentral.